Molecule: long non-coding RNA, 2064 nt
Organism: Brachypodium distachyon (stiff brome)
Lineage: Eukaryota; Viridiplantae; Streptophyta; Magnoliopsida; Poales; Poaceae
Exons: 5
Source: RefSeq, a predicted model, not a curated record
AGUCUUACAUGUGGGACCUCCCACCAUCUGUCUCCCCACCCCAAUCAUCUCUCCCGUGUCUUCCUGCACUCCCCAGUCCCCUCCGCCAUAGCAGCGCACCAGCACAUCGCCCCGCAGUAUUCGCCUGCCUCCCCACACCACGCCGCCCCUCCGGCCUCCGCCCUGGCCGCGGGCCAGCACCUCGCCCCGGCAUAUUCGCCGGCCUCCUCUCACAGCGCCUCCCCUCUUCCCUAGCCAACCCAGCACGCUCUGCCCCCUCCUCUCAUGCGGCUGGCCCGCCACAGAUCCUCCAGGCACCCUUCGUUGCAGUCGACGACCAAGACGAAGUAGCGAGCAGCGAGGGGAUAAAGGAGGCCGCCGGGGCCGGCGAAUUGUUGUGCAGUGGGUGCGGAUGGAUCAGGCUGGGGCUCCUUGCCCCUUGUCUUUCUCAUUCGUGGAGGAAGACGCAGCCACGGAGCCUGCUCGCCUCCACCACCACCACCGGCGCAAUUGAGUUCGCCGCGGCCGCCCACGCCAAUGAAAUCUUCUCCACCGAGGGGCAUAAAGAGAGCUGUACAAAAAUAAUAUUCAGGUCACCAUCCCAGCUGAGCUUCGGAGUCUCAAGAGCCUUAUUAGCUUGGACUUCUAUAACAGCUAUACAUAUGUCGUCUAUCCAUGUUGUGAUACAAGACCAGAAUCAAUAUGUUGCAUACACACAGAAAUAGAUUCAUAAAUUGGAAGCAAGCAUCUGAUCUUUCUUUGUUUUGGGAAUCUGGUGUUGUCUGCCUUUUUCAAUUCAGAUCAGAUGCUAUAUGUGAUUAAUUUUGUUGUGCCAUGAUUAAUUUAAUAUGAUGGGCUCAGUCUCAGCCUGUGCAUCAGCAAGAUUACUUGCUCCUAACGUAAUCAUUCAAUGUGUUGAGAAAACAUGAUGGAUCAACUUGAGAAUGAGUGAGAAGAGAUUAAGAAAAAAAACAAAUAUCAUGAAAAAUAAAACCUAAUGAGGAAUAAUAUUUAGAAUAACUUGUUAGAUUUUUUUUCUUACUUAUCCAAUGCACGCAAAGGUUAGUACAGGCAAGUUUGUUCUGUCAAUAGCAUUUUUUGAACCUAGGAUUGAUAUUAAAUUUCAGAUAUCACUUGUUAGUGGUGUUAUAAUUACUGGACGAUAGCUGCCUGUUUUGUGUUUUCUAUUUUUGCAACUUUAUGGUUCCAUAAACAAAAUCAUGGACUAACUCCCUUUUGCGACAUGGGUAGGGUUACAACAGUCUAUUGUUCACAUCGGUAAACAUGUUCGAGAAAGGAGAAAGCUCAAAAGGAUGAAAGCGUCCUCGUGGUUCUGGUCGCUCUGCUGGCCUCACACUAGAAAAAAGACAAGCAAGGCGGAACCAUGAUAAAAAGCACCGUCAAAGUUUGACACUCGAGGCUAGGGAAGAGAUAAAUGCUCGCAGAAGAGCGCACACGGAAAGUUUAACACUUGAAGAGAGGCAGGCUGCUAAUGCCCGCCGAACAGCGGCUAGGCAAAACUUGCCAAUUGAGGAGAGAGAAGAGGCCAAUGCUCAUCGCAGGGCUGCUACGAAAAACAUAUAACCUUAGGCAAGGCAGGCACUACCAGAUUAUCGUAAGGCAAGCUACGCAGCUAGGCGAGACACUCUGUGCACGGAGUUCUUAACUAGAACACUGUCUGCAUACUACAACCUUUAGUAGGGUGCACUUUGGUUCAGAUGUUGAUGUUGCACGUCAGAUGAAAAAGAGGAUCAACAAUGACCUUAGCUCCAUGGAUCCGCGUUAAGUCGGCAUGAACAGUGGUUGGAUCCUUUUGCAGUCACCUUUUAAGCUAGGACACUAGGAGAAGCCUUGGGGAAAAAGAACACACAUCUGUGUGCAUCGAUGAAAAUGAACAUUUUGCAACCACCUUUCGAUGCUUAAAUGUUUUUAUUUGUUAUUAUGGCAUGUUAGCACUACUUGUGGCCUGAACUAUGUUAUGGUGGACUGGAAAAUAUUGUCGUUGUGAUGGAUGAAAAUGUAUUAAUUCUACCUUGUCACAAGUUAUGAUAUUUGUGACCUGAAUCGUGUUGUGUUCCUCGUGAA